Molecule: ribosomal RNA, 2790 nt
Filed under: invertebrate metagenome
Description: bacterial LSU rRNA
Rfam family: Bacterial large subunit ribosomal RNA (bases 501-2702)
Source: RNAcentral
AAGCUAUUCUUUUAUAGGAAAAGGCUGAAGUCAAGUCCUUAUGGUCUAUGUACAUCGGGCUACACACGUACUACAAUGGUAAAAACAAAAAGUAACGAAAGCGUAAGCUAGAGUCAACCUUUAAAAAUUACCUUAGUUCAGAUUGUAUUUUGAAACUUAAAUGCAUGAAGCUGAAAUCAUUAGUAAUCGUAGAUAAUAAUGCUACGGUGAAUGAAAAGUCAGAUUUUGCACACACCGCCCAUCACGCCCGGAGAAUUUUUGAGGCCGUUAUAACAAAAAGUUUUACGUUAUGGUAUUUUAAUUAUCUUUUUAAAAUCAGAAUAGUAUAUAAGUUAUUAGUUUAGCUAGUAUUAGUAGUUAGCGCAAUAUUUUGUUAGAUGGUAGCCUAAGUAAUUUGGGUGAAGUUGACACAAGGUACUCCUAGGGGAACCUGGGGGUUGAGUAAGUAGUUUAGAUUAUUUUUAUUAUUUUAUAAAGUAAUAAUCCUAUUAAGUAGUAUGGAUUAAAAUUAUUUUUUAUUGGGGAGCUUACCUCAAAGCUAAAAAUUGCAAAACUUUAAAGUGAAUUAGUAUCGUGAGAGAAUGGUGAAAAGAAUUCCUUGAUGAAUUUUAAAAGAAUUUGAAACCUAAUGUAGUGUGCAGUUAUAGCUUAUUGUUAUAGCGUACCUUUUGUAUAAUGAGCUAGUUAGUUUAUUGUUAUAGCAAGCUUAUUUAAUAUGUUAAGCGCACUGAAAAGAUUUUAAGUUAUAAUAAUAAGACCCGAAGCUAAGUGAUCUAAUUAUGGCUAGGUUGAUUAAUUUUUUUAAAUUAGGAGGACCGAACUUAUAAAUGUUGCAAUAUUUUAAGAUAAGCUAUGGUUAGGGGUGAAAGGCUAAUCAAACUUAGUGAUAGCUGGUUUUCUGCGAAACCUAUUUAGGUAGGGAUAAUCUUAGCUGUAGUAUAAAGGUAAUUAAGUACGAUCGCGGAUUAGUUUUUUCAAACUACUGUAACAUUGUAGAGAUAUGAAUUUUAUGUACAUGUGUAGAUUUAUCAGACGUUAGGCGCUAAGGUCUAAUGUCAAAAGGGAAACAGCCCAGACUAAAUAUUAAAGCUUAUAAAUAAACUUAAGUCAAAUACCUUUAAAUUUUAUAUUUCUAAGAAGUAGGCUUGGAGGCAGUCAUCUUUUAAAGAAAGCGUAAUAGCUCAUUAGAAAUUAAUACUUAGUUGAUAUAUAGUAACUAAUUUAAGGGUUCAUAAUAAAAAAAUUAAGUUUAUGCUGAAAUAAUAGAUUAUAUUUAAUAUAAUGGUAGCAGAAUGAUUUGUUAACUGUUGAAAAACUAUGGGUACAUAGUUUUGAGGUAUCAAAUUUAUAUAUACUAGUAUGAGUAAUAGACAUGCUGUGAAAAACAGCUAUCGCCAAUAACUUUAGGGUUGUACUGAUUAGAUAAUCUUACAGUAUGUAAACGGCUUCUUAGAUUAAAAUUAAAUUAUAGUCUAUGAUUAUUAUAUAUUUUGGUAGUAAUUUAUUAAUUAAAGUUUAGUAAUCUUAACAUUUUAUUUUUAAUGUUAAACUUACCUACUGCCCUGGAAACAGUAUAUAACAAAACCGUACUAACAUAAACACAUAUAAGUUGCUUGAGUAAAGUAAGGCGUAAGGGUUAAUAAUAUUAAAGGAACUCGGCAAAUUGACUCUGUAACUUCGGGAUAAGGAGGUCUAUAUUAGAAUAAUAAAGUAGGGGGUAGCGACUGUUUAUCAAAAACAUAAGACUUUGCUAAAUGUAAUAAUGAUGUAUAAAGUCUGACAUCUGCCCGGUGCCGCAAAGCGAAAAUUGACGAGUUACCUUGUUGGUAUAAGCUCCGGUAAACGGCGGUCGUAACUCUGACGAUCCUAAGGUAGCGAAAUUCCUUGGCAGGUAAGUUCUGUCCCGCACGAAUGAUGUAACGACUGCCCCGCUGUCUCUAAUAUUACCCCUAUGAAAUUGAAUUAGUUGUGAAGAUGCGACUCGGUAUAGCUAGACGGAAAGACCCUAUACACCUUUACUAUAACCUAUUUACUGAGAGUAUCUUUAAAAAAUUAGCAGGUUUUAUACUGAAACUAAUUUAUAAUUAGAGCUCUCUGCUAUUAUUUACCAAUUGAACAUUAUAAUAUAAUAUUUAAAUAGGUAGGUAGUUUGGCUGGGGCGGCGUCCUUCUAAAAAGUAACGAAGGAUUAUAAAUAGCUUUAUUUAACAAAUACGUUUGUAAGUAUAUUAAAAUAAAUUUAUAAAGCUUGAUUAAAGUACAAACAAGUAUUUUAAGGGUAAUAUUUGCCUAUUAUAUUGAACCGAUUUAUUAUCUAGGUAUACAAAUCGAUCUACGAAUAAAAGGUACGUUAGGGAUAACAGGCUUAUGAAUUUUGAGAGUCCAUAUCAAUAAAUUCGUUUGGCACCUCGAUGUCGACUCAUCGCGUCCUGGUGGUGAAUAUUCUGCCAAGGGUUCGGCUGUUCGCCGAUUAAAGCGGUACGUGAGUUGGGUUCAGAGCGUCGUGAGACAGGUUGGUCCCUAUCUACUAUACCAUAUACAUACUUUAUAAAAUCUUACUUUAGUACGAGAGGACUAGGAAGGGUUAGCCGCUGGUGUUAAAAUUAUUUUUAAAAGUAUAGUUUUAUAGCUACGCUAAUUAUUGAUAAUAACUAAGUUAAUAGUUAGAAGCAAUAUUAUACAAGUAUGUAAUAGUUUAAUAUAAAAUAUUUUUUAUGAUUUAUCUUUUUUGUAAGGUCAGUAAUAACCUACACAGGAAAUUAAUUUAAAAACUAAAUAAAAACUAACAUUA